GAGCAUAUAUGAGACGUUCUCUAGUUUGAGUGAGCUUGUCUGUAUACAAAGGUCUACUAAUCUUUGAGUCAAUUAGGCUAAAUACCUUUGGUGUCCAACAAUCCGAAGGAAGCAUGAAUUUGAACCCAUACAUGGAUGUACCUUCCAUCUUCACCAAAUAGGAAACAACUUUACAUGCGCUUCAAGAAUAACAAAAUAUCAAAGGCAAAGUAGGGUCCCUCAGGUAGAAUAGGAUCUCUAUCCUCCGCCGUGUCAAAUUUAUAAACAACCCGACCACUCUUUAUUUUUUCCCGCCUCUUUCCCAAAACCCUUCUCGUGCGCGCCCCAACUCGUCGCCCUCUUCACCGCCUCCCUCCUCCCCGCCUCAACUUUCGGCCUCGCCGCCUCGACUUUCAGCCAUCUUUGCUGCCUCCUCCUCACCGAUGAGCAAUAGUUGUGACUGGAUCUGGAGGAGUUGAGGCACCUGCAGAGCAUCGCCAAGAGGCCUCAAGUUGCCUCCCUUCUCGUCUCUGAGAUUCGUAACCUCGAAGCCAAGUUGUCUGUGAUGACUGCGACGACAACAGGGGUAAGGCUUCUGUAGAGAAGGCAUUGGUAGCUGCUGCCUCUUUGAAGAGUUAUGUUACCCUGUCAUCGUUCAGCUGGGAUCAAGACCAUGAUAAGAUG
Zingiber officinale is the source of this 663-nucleotide long non-coding RNA. RefSeq lists it as uncharacterized. The transcript is spliced from 3 exons. The record is from RefSeq and is a predicted model, not a curated record. NCBI's taxonomy places the organism in Eukaryota, Viridiplantae, Streptophyta, Magnoliopsida, Zingiberales, Zingiberaceae.